RNAcentral lists this ribosomal RNA (164 nucleotides) under uncultured bacterium. Its description in RNAcentral is "partial 16S rRNA". It matches the Rfam family "Bacterial small subunit ribosomal RNA", at positions 355 to 510 of the family's 1533-position model. The record is from RNAcentral.
UAGGGAAUCUUCCACAAUGGACGAAAGUCUGAUGGAGCAACGCCGCGUGAGUGAAGAAGGUUUUCGGAUCGUAAAGCUCUGUUGUUGGUGAAGAAGGAUAGAGGCAGUAACUGGUCCUUUAUUUGACGGUAAUCAACCAGAAAGUCACGGCUAACUACGUGCCA